RNAcentral lists this ribosomal RNA (449 nucleotides) under uncultured bacterium. RNAcentral's name for it is "partial 16S ribosomal RNA". It matches the Rfam family "Bacterial small subunit ribosomal RNA", at positions 29 to 523 of the family's 1533-position model. The record is from RNAcentral.
AACGAACGCUGGCGGCAUGCCUAACACAUGCAAGUCGAACGAGAUCUUCGGGUCUAGUGGCGCACGGGUGCGUAACGCGUGGGAAUCUGCCCUUUGGUUCGGAAUAACAGUUGGAAGCGACUGCUAAUACCGGAUGAUGACGAAAGUCCAAAGAUUUAUCGCCAGAGGAUGAGCCCGCGUAGGAUUAGCUAGUUGGUGUGGUAAAGGCGCACCAAGGCGACGAGCCUUAGCUGGUCUGAGAGGAUGAUCAGCCACACUGGGACUGAGAAACGGCCCAGCCUCCUACGGGAGGCAGCAGUGGGGAAUAUUGGACAAUGGGCGAAAGCCUGAUCCAGCAAUGCCGCGUGAGUGAUGAAGGCCUUAGGGUUGUAAAGCUCUUUUACCCGGGAUGAUAAUGACAGUACCGGGAGAAUAAGCUCCGGCUAACUCCGUGCCAGCCGCCGCCGUAA